AGCUUUGCGCAGUGGCAGUGUCGUAGCCAAUGAGGCUUAUCCGAGGCGCGAUUAUUGCUAAUUGAAAACUUUUCCCAUUUCCGCGCAGCGACCAGCCGGCCCUUCUGGGGUCCAGCCCCAGCCUGUGAAGUUCUGCUGACCCAGCACUGGA
Tupaia belangeri (northern tree shrew) is the source of this 151-nucleotide small nuclear RNA. Its record names the gene U4. It matches the Rfam family "U4 spliceosomal RNA". From Rfam's summary of the family: U4 small nuclear RNA (U4 snRNA) is a component of the major U2-dependent spliceosome. The structure of U4 snRNA from yeast and human has been reported. The record is from Ensembl. Lineage: Eukaryota; Metazoa; Chordata; Mammalia; Scandentia; Tupaiidae.